RNAcentral lists this long non-coding RNA (477 nucleotides) under Nicotiana benthamiana. RNAcentral's name for it is "long non-coding RNA (NBEN_LNC032032)". The record is from RNAcentral. Lineage: Eukaryota; Viridiplantae; Streptophyta; Magnoliopsida; Solanales; Solanaceae.
UCAAUUUGAACGAGAGUUCUAGUUUGAAAGCUUAAAAACCCACAGAGAGGAAUACUGGGAAAUAUCACUACUUUAUUGAAGCUCUCUUUCUGCUUCAUUGAUUUCAUUCUUCCUGAUUUAAGAUCACUAGACUGAUCUUGUGUGAGUUUGAGUCCACUUGAACUGUUUUCCUGAUUAAACUUUAGCUUCCUGAAAGUUUCAAAUGUUUCUGGGUGCAUUUUCAAGUUUUUUUGGUAUUGUUGUGGGUCAAUCACUUUUUCUGUUUGGUCCUGGGGUCAUUGAUUCACUCCUGGGGUUUGAAAUUGUUGUUUUUGAGUCAAUAUACCAAUUUCGUUUGGUUUUAGAAGCUUCUGGGAUCACUGGGCUGUAUUCGUUUGCUGUCUGAAACUCCAAGUUAUUGUUGUUUGCUUUGUUGUGGCUAGUCUCUGCUUCAUUUUAUUCUAUUCUGUAUCCAGGUAUUCAUCUCAACCUUGAAUG